GUAUGAAUGGCCACACGAGGGGUUUACUGUCUCUUUGUUCCAAUCCGUGAAAUUGACCUUCCCGUGAAGAGGCGGGAAUAUGACAAUAAGACGAGAAGACCCUAUGGAGCUUUAAUUAACCGACCCAAAGAGAUCUUGAUAAUCAACCGACAGGGAUAACAUACCUCUACCAUGGGCCGACAAUUUAGGUUGGGGUGACCUCGGAGAAUAAAACAACCUCCGAGUGAUUUAAAUCUAGACUAACUAGUCGAAAGUACUACAUCACUUAUUGAUCCAAAAACUUGAUCAACGGAACAAGUUACCCUAGGGAUAACAGCGCAAUCCUAUUUUAGAGUCCAUAUCGACAAUAGGGUUUACGACCUCCAUGUUGGA
Molecule: ribosomal RNA, 372 nt
Filed under: Panthera onca (jaguar)
Lineage: Eukaryota; Metazoa; Chordata; Mammalia; Carnivora; Felidae
Description: partial large subunit ribosomal RNA
Rfam family: Bacterial large subunit ribosomal RNA
Source: RNAcentral